AACACGGAGAGUUUGAUCCUGGCUCAGGAUGAACGCUGGCGGUCUGCUUAACACAUGCAAGUCGAACGGAGUAGAAAUACUUAGUGGCGGACGGGUGAGUAACGCGUGAGAAUCUACCUACAGGACGGAGAUAACAGUUGGAAACGACUGCUAAGCCCCGAUGAACCGAAAGGAAAAAUAUUUAUAGCCUGAAGAUGAGCUCGCGUCCGAUUAGCUAGUUGGGGGGGUAAAGGCCCACCAAGGCGACGAUCGGUAGCUGGUCUGAGA
RNAcentral lists this ribosomal RNA (267 nucleotides) under Microcoleus sp. Co-bin12. RNAcentral's name for it is "partial 16S ribosomal RNA". It matches the Rfam family "Bacterial small subunit ribosomal RNA", at positions 1 to 297 of the family's 1533-position model. Lineage: Bacteria; Bacillati; Cyanobacteriota; Cyanophyceae; Oscillatoriales; Microcoleaceae. The record is from RNAcentral.